RNAcentral lists this ribosomal RNA (436 nucleotides) under uncultured bacterium. RNAcentral's name for it is "bacterial SSU rRNA". It matches the Rfam family "Bacterial small subunit ribosomal RNA", at positions 29 to 453 of the family's 1533-position model. The record is from RNAcentral.
AACGAACGCUGGCGGCGUGCCUAACACAUGCAAGUCGUGCGAGAAAGUUCCUUCGGGAGCGAGUAAAGCGGCGCACGGGUGAGUAACACGUAGGUAACCUGCCCCCCAGUCUGGAACAACUAGAGGAAACUCUAGCUAAUGCCGGAUGAGACCACGAUCCCUUCGGGGGUUGCGGCCAAAGAUGGCCUCUACUUGUAAGCUAUCGCUGAGGGAUGGGCCUGCGGGCCAUUAGCUUGUUGGUGAGGUAACGGCUCACCAAGGCUGUGAUGGCUAGCUGGCCUGAGAGGAUGACCAGCCACACUGGGACUGAGACACGGCCCAGACUCCUACGGGAGGCAGCAGUGGGAAUAUUGCGCAAUGGGCGAAAGCCUGACGCAGCGACGCCGCGUGGGUGAUGAAGGCCUCGGUCGUAAGCCUAGUCGCAGGGAGAAGUAAG